UAAGCGGAGCGUGAAAUCGUGUGGCUCAACCAUGCGGCUAUGCUCUGAACUGCUGAUCUAGAGAAUGAGAGAGGUCACUGGAAUUACUAGUGUAGGAGUGAAAUCCGUAGAUAUUAGUAGGAACACCGAUGGCGUAGGCAGGUGACUGGCUCAUUUCUGACGCUCAGGCACGAAAGCGUGGGAGCAAACGGGAUUAGAUACCCCGGUAGUCCACGCUGUAAACGAUGGAUGCUA
RNAcentral lists this ribosomal RNA (234 nucleotides) under uncultured Candidatus Saccharibacteria bacterium. RNAcentral's name for it is "partial 16S ribosomal RNA". It matches the Rfam family "Bacterial small subunit ribosomal RNA", at positions 584 to 818 of the family's 1533-position model. Lineage: Bacteria; Candidatus Saccharimonadota. The record is from RNAcentral.